GCUGGAAUUGCUGUAAUGGCAGGUCAGCAUACUGCCGUGAAUACGUUCCCGGGCCCUUGUACACACCGCCCGUCACACCAUGAGAGUUGGAAAUACCCGAAGCCUGUGAGCUAACUGUAAAGAGGCAGCAGUCGAAGGUAGAGCCAAUGAUUGGGGUGAAGUCGUAACAAGGUAGC
Molecule: ribosomal RNA, 176 nt
Filed under: uncultured bacterium
Lineage: Bacteria
Description: partial 16S ribosomal RNA
Rfam family: Bacterial small subunit ribosomal RNA
Source: RNAcentral